This 331-nucleotide unclassified non-coding RNA is filed under the name soil metagenome. RNAcentral describes it as "partial contains 5.8S ribosomal RNA, internal transcribed spacer 2, and large subunit ribosomal RNA". The stretch from base 1 to 120 matches the Rfam family "5.8S ribosomal RNA", at positions 35 to 154 of the family's 154-position model. The record is from RNAcentral.
GAUGAAGAACGUAGCGAAAUGCGAUACGUAAUGUGAAUUGCAGAUUUCAGUGAAUCAUCGAAUCUUUGAACGCACAUUGCGCCCGCCAGUAUUCUGGCGGGCAUGCCUGUUCGAGCGUCAUUUCAACCAUCAAGCGCCUCGCUUGGGUUGGGGCCCUGCGGCUGCCGCAGGCCCCUAAAUCCAGUGGCGGGCUCGUCGUCGUACCGAGUGCAGUAAACAUCCUCGCUCAGGGAACCCGACGGGUGCCGGCCGUGAAACCCCCCCUCCUCAAGGUUGACCUCGGAUCAGGUAGGAAUACCCGCUGAACUUAAGCAUAUCAAUAAGCGGAGGA